Molecule: long non-coding RNA, 1531 nt
Organism: Vidua chalybeata
Lineage: Eukaryota; Metazoa; Chordata; Aves; Passeriformes; Viduidae
Exons: 3
Source: RefSeq, a predicted model, not a curated record
GGUGCCGGCGCGGAGCGGCCCCUCGGGCUGCGGGGGCGGCGGGCGGAGGCGAGCGUGGCCCCCCCGCCCUGGGACACGAGCGUUGGCGUACGGCGCGCGUGGCCCCUCACGGCCUGAGCACUCUGCGGUGCGGCUGGCGUGAGGCGAGCGGGACGGAGCAUCAGCUUCUCAGAAUCACAGAAUCGCUGACUAUGUGGCAGUGCAGUAGCAGAGAAAGUGAAGUUCUUAACAAGUGACCUUGAGAGGAUAAAAGAUCGUUUCUCAUCAUUGCUUCAAAUGUUUAUGCUCGGCGCGGUUCCAGUCGAUAAUUUUGUUCAAUUUGAAAAAAGAACUCAGAGUUUUCAAACACAAGAAAGCUCCUACCAAUUUUCUGUGAAAACAGAUGGCUGUGGACAAGAGAAAGAUUGUGUAAGUGCCCUCCUGUCUCCUUCAGGAAAAAGGCUGUAGUGCAAGUUCUUAUGUUAUGACAAAAGCCUAUUCACACAGAAUUCCCCAGCCAUGAAGAAACAACACAUGCCCCAGCCACAAGGAGAGAUCUGAGCAGAGCUCAAGCAGCCAUGAAACACAAAUGUUUAGGAAACCAGGCCUUGCUGUUUCUGGCACUCAGGGAGCUCCUGGUUCAGACACUGCCUGACAGCUUCUGCAUGUUUUAAGAUGCAUCAUUUAAUAUAAAUAAUAACAGAAACAUCAUGAAACAGAAAAGAUUUAAAGGAAGCUGUUUCAGCUGAAGAGAUGCCACUAGAAAAAACUUCUACUUUUGGCUGCCAGUUACAGGAAUAAAGUUGUCAGCAGCACAUCAGCUGUCGGGAUCAGAGCUCUGUGGUGAGAAUGCAGAUGCGAUGCCAGAAGCUGUUCUCAGUUUCAUCACUGGGCUUACAUGGGAGUAGGAGGGACCCACCUCCUCCAGUGGCAAAUGGCACCACCAGUGGCAACUACCCAGAUAUUUUUAUUCAUAAACUUCAGCAAACAUAAAAGGAAACAAUAUUCCAAAGAAGCAAGAUGUUUCAGAAACAUCAGUAAGAGUGGCUCCCAGCAAUACUCUAAGGAAUCUCCAUCUGCUUAUGACAGAAUCGUGCAGCACAACAAACAGAAAGAAACAACAAAUGGCAAGACAUGAUUCCUGUGAGAAAAUCUGGUUUCUACUUUUCUCCUGAAAAUGGCAAAGAAACAUCACAAAAACACCUUGGGCUUAUACUUAUUUAAAAGAGAGGAUAAUUUACCUGAGAGUUAUCUGGCUGAGUGGUCUUGUCUUCACAGUUUAAUAUCUGGCAAUUAUGUGUGGAUAUGACAGUUUUAAGCUUAACGCAAGUAGGCGGCAGCGACUGAGGUUUAACAGUAAGCUUUUCUUCUUUGCUUGACCUGAUGACACAUGCAAAAAGCUAAAAACUGCCAGGUCCACAGUAGGAUUUGAAUGAAUUAUGUGGGUGGAAUUUGAAUACAGGUUGCUCUGAACAUCUUUGGGUUGAGAAAAGCAGUAAAAGCACCAUAGAAGCAUGCAGAAGAGUGAAGAACAAUAAAGAUAUACUUGCAG